GACGAACGCUGGCGGCGUGCUUAACACAUGCAAGUCGAACGAUGAAGCCGGAGCUUGCUCUGGUGAAUUAGUGGCGAACGGGUGAGUAACACGUGAGUAACCUGCCCUUGACUCUGGGAUAACUGCUAGAAAUGGUAGCUAAUACCGGAUACGACCCUCGGAGGCAUCUCCAGGGGGUGGAAAGAAUUUCGGUCAAGGAUGGACUCGCGGCCUAUCAGCUAGUUGGUGAGGUAACGGCUCACCAAGGCGACGACGGGUAGCCGACCUGAGAGGGUGAUCGGCCACACUGGGACUGAGACACGGCCCAGACUCCUACGGGAGGCAGCAGUAGGGAAUAUUGCACAAUGGGCGCAAGCCUGAUUCAGCAACGCCGCGUGAGGGAUGACGGCCUUCGGGUUGUAAACCUCUUUUAGUAGGGAAGAAGCGAAAGUGACGGUACCUGCAGAAAAAGCACCGGCUAACUACGUGCCAGCCGCCGCAGUAA
This 484-nucleotide ribosomal RNA is filed under the name uncultured bacterium. RNAcentral's name for it is "partial 16S ribosomal RNA". It matches the Rfam family "Bacterial small subunit ribosomal RNA", at positions 28 to 523 of the family's 1533-position model. The record is from RNAcentral.